GACGAACGCUGGCGGCGUGCCUAAUACAUGCAAGUGGGACGCAAGGGAACACACUGUGCUUGCACACCGUGUUUUCUUGAGUCGCGAACGGGUGAGUAACGCGUAGGUAACCUGCCUAUUAGCGGGGGAUAACUAUUGGAAACGAUAGCUAAUACCGCAUAAUAUUAAUUAUUGCAUGAUAAUUGAUUGAAAGAUGCAAGCGCAUCACUAGUAGAUGGACCUGCGUUGUAUUAGCUAGUUGGUAAGGUAAGAGCUUACCAAGGCGACGAUACAUAGCCGACCUGAGAGGGUGAUCGGCCACACUGGGACUGAGACACGGCCCAGACUCCUACGGGAGGCAGCAGUAGGGAAUCUUCGGCAAUGGACGAAAGUCUGACCGAGCAACGCCGCGUGAGUGAAGAAGGUUUUCGGAUCGUAAAGCUCUGUUGUAAGUCAAGAACGUGUGUGAGAGUGGAAAGUUCACACAG
This 467-nucleotide ribosomal RNA is filed under the name Streptococcus mutans. RNAcentral's name for it is "bacterial SSU rRNA". It matches the Rfam family "Bacterial small subunit ribosomal RNA", at positions 28 to 471 of the family's 1533-position model. The record is from RNAcentral. Lineage: Bacteria; Bacillati; Bacillota; Bacilli; Lactobacillales; Streptococcaceae.